CAAAAUUUCUGUUGUGGAUGGUGGGAAUCAUUCAGAGGAAUGCAGAAACCCUAUUGAGUAUGAUGAAAAUGGAAAUUAUUGUUUUGUGCUCAUUAAUCCCAAAGAUGAUGAUGGAAAAACCAAGUCUUUACUUCAGGAAGUAUUAAGCAUUUAUUCUAAAGAGCUUCCGGCCAUGAACUAUGCUGCAAACACAGGAAAAGAAUCACAAUUCCUUGAAAGAUGUGUAUCAAAUGGGAAGUACUGCACGCUAGUUCUGAAAACCAAGGAUGACAUAGACCCUGGGGAGGUUAUUGCAGCAAUCACUUAUCAAAUAAUUCCAGCUGAUAUGCAAUUUGCUGAGGUUCCUAUUGCUGCUGUUAAAUCAGUUUACCAACUCAAGGGGAUUGGUUAUUCAAUCUAUUUGGAGCUGAG
RNAcentral lists this unclassified non-coding RNA (411 nucleotides) under Hevea brasiliensis (rubber tree). The record is from RNAcentral. Lineage: Eukaryota; Viridiplantae; Streptophyta; Magnoliopsida; Malpighiales; Euphorbiaceae.